This 291-nucleotide ribosomal RNA is filed under the name uncultured bacterium. Its description in RNAcentral is "partial 16S ribosomal RNA". It matches the Rfam family "Bacterial small subunit ribosomal RNA", at positions 505 to 796 of the family's 1533-position model. The record is from RNAcentral.
GUGCCAGCCGCCGCGGUAAUACGGAGGGUGCAAGCGUUAAUCUGAAUUACUGGGCGUAAAGCGCGCGUAGGUGGUUUGUUAAGCGAGAUGUGAAAGCCCCGGGCUCAACCUGGGAACGGCAUUUCGAACUGGCAGGCUAGAGUGUGGUAGAGGGGUGUGGAAUUUCCUGUGUAGCGGUGAAAUGCGUAGAUAUAGGAAGGAACACCAGUGGCGAAGGCGGCACCCUGGACCAACACUGACACUGAGGUGCGAAAGCGUGGGGAGCAAACAGGAUUAGAAACCCAGUAGUCC